This 472-nucleotide ribosomal RNA is filed under the name uncultured Pelotomaculum sp. Its description in RNAcentral is "bacterial SSU rRNA". It matches the Rfam family "Bacterial small subunit ribosomal RNA", at positions 910 to 1382 of the family's 1533-position model. Lineage: Bacteria; Bacillati; Bacillota; Clostridia; Eubacteriales; Desulfotomaculaceae. The record is from RNAcentral.
UUGACGGGGCCCGCACAAGCGGUGGAGCAUGUGGUUAAUUCGACGCAACGCGAAGAACCUUACCAGGGCUUGACAUCCCCUGACCGCGUAUGAAAGUACGUUUUCACCCUCGGGUGACAGGGAGACAGGUGGUGCAUGGUUGUCGUCAGCUCGUGUCGUGAGAUGUUGGGUUAAGUCCCGCAACGAGCGCAACCCCUACGUUUAGUUGCUAACGCGUGAAGGCGAGCACUCUAGACGAACUGCCGUUGACAAAACGGAGGAAGGUGGGAUGACGUCAAAUCAUCAUGCCCCUUAUGUUCUGGGCUACACACGUGCUACAAUGGCCGGUACAGACGGACGCAAAGCCGCGAGGUGGAGCAAAUCCUAAAAAGCCGGUCUCAGUUCGGAUUGCAGGCUGCAAUUCGCCUGCAUGAAGUCGGAAUCGCUAGUAAUCGCAGGUCAGCAUACUGCGGUGAAUACGUUCCCGGGCCUU